This 25364-nucleotide long non-coding RNA is filed under the name Vitis vinifera (wine grape). Its description in RNAcentral is "long non-coding RNA (VVIN_LNC000828)". Lineage: Eukaryota; Viridiplantae; Streptophyta; Magnoliopsida; Vitales; Vitaceae. The record is from RNAcentral.
CCAUUGAAUAUCUUAUAGGUACAAUAUUUAGUUUGAAGUAGAAUAAAAGAACAUUCCAAAUGAAUUGACAAACUAGGCCAUAAAAUUUUCAAAUGUGAUAUGAAAGUAUGCAUAGUAGCCUUGAAAAACUUAGGGACAAAUGAAUAGUUCUACCAUAUCAUUUACUAAUUGAAGAAAUCCCUAAAGGAGAGGGAAAAGUACUCAAAAAGCUAUAAUCCAUGUGAAAUAUUGGAACUCAAAAAUACAAAUAUAUCCUAGUUGCAUUUAAUCUAAACCCAAAUACUUCAGGAACCUUUUUUUUUUUUUUUUUUUUUUGCAACUUUAAUCUCUAUAAUCCACUUAAUUCACAAACUUUAAAGAAAAAAAAAAUAGAGUUUUACCAUAACGAUCAUAUCUUAGGAGCACACUUGGCUAGAUAUAGAGUUAAAGGUUGAGUGUUAAUGGAAAACAGGUUAAAAAAAAUAAUUUUUGUAGAAAAACAAGUAAUGAUUAUGAAUGCUCUAGAUAAUUUAGGUGUUUGAGCUUUUAACUUUUAGCUUAUAUAUUCCAUGACUUGAUUUCAAAAUUUUAGGUUUAGAGUUUGUAUAUUUAUGUAUUGCUAAAAGCAAGAUUGUUGUGUAGUUAUCAUGUUUGUUAAAAUAUUUUGGUCCAAAUUCACCUCAUAAAUCUCUCCCUUUCUCAUUAUAACCCUUGCACAUUCAUCCCUUCCUCAUUAUGAAUGUCAUCCCGAAGGUCAUUCAUUUCUAUCUUAGGUUUAAUGCCACAAAAUCAAAUUUCUUGGUCUUAUGGCUUAAUAAAGCAUCAUCAACCAUGAAAUAUGAGCAAUAAUUUCCUUCUUGCUUCUUUGGAAACUAGAAAGAAUGGGAUAUACUUAAUAUGUCUCACAAAAAUUGGGAAACAUGUUAAUUAGCUAAAAAUAUCACCUUAAUAUGGCCCAACAAUAUAUUUGGUGGUAGAUAGUAAAAAAAAAAAAAAAAAAAAAAAAAACUACCAACUUUCAUGCCUAUAGUAGUAGCCAAGUGAAAAUAAAAUUUAUAUAAGUGUACCUAGAAUGCCAAGAAAAAACAGUGACUAGACUAUGAUUUGUAAAGUAUGAGACAAUGACAUACACUCUCCAUUCUAGGAAAAUAUACUCCAUUAUAGCAUGUAUUUCAUACUACAUGUGCUAAUUAAUAAAAAGUAAAAGUAAGAAAAUUAUGAAUCCUUUUCGCAUUGUCUCACUCUUAAAAAUAUUUUUGUUUGAUGAUGAUUAAGUUUAUGCUUUAAUCAAAUAUGGCUACACCAUCAAAAAAAGAAAUAAUGUUAAGCUACUUUCAAACAUUGCCAAGGUCAUGAAUGAUUCUACUUUAAUGGACAUUGUUAGCAAAUCUGCUAGUUAUGAUCUAAAUGAUAUAAUCUGUCUGAUUUUAGGUGGCCAGAGCCGAUCAAUACAUAUCCGGUUAAACGGGAUCAAAGUAGAAGGUGCCUCUAUCAUAAAGAUCAUGGUCAUACCACCGAACAAUGUAGAAGUCUCCACUACUUAGUGGAAAGACUAAUCAGGGUUGGAUACCUGAAACAAUAUGUCUGCACAACUGGCAAAUAAAGAGAGACGGCCCGAGAUCUAGCCAUCCAAGCCCCUACGACUUUAGCAGCUCCUAGAGUUAUCAUCAAAUACAUUCACGAAGGCCCCGCUGUUUAGAGAUAUUACUCUAAAUGGAAAAGGCAAAGGUUGCUGGGCGCGACCUCCGUAAGAGAAGGGAUCAGCUCUGUUCAGCAUAACUUUCCAAAAGGAAGUAUACGCCCCGUUGAUGGCACAAGUACCUUCCCUCCAAUAAAUGCUAACAGGGUAUUGCAACCACACAAAGACACCCUAGUCCUAAUCCUAGGAAUAAGUGGGUUCAAUGUGAGAAAGGUUCUGAUUAAUCCGGGUAGCUCAGCUGACCUCUUAUAAAUGUCAACCUACAAGCAAGGCAGUUGUUAUCCGAGUUCAAUGGAGCUAUGAUGACUUCUCAACGCAAUGUUGUAUUACCCAUCCAAGCUGGCCCGAUCACCUUGAACGUGCAAUUCUCAGUGGUAGAGGAUUUAUCCCCUUUCAAGGCCAUCAUGGGACGCACAUGGCUUUAUAGAAUGAAAGUCAUUUCCUCUACAUAGCAUCAGAUGGUGAGCUACCUCGUCGAGGAUAAACAAAUCGACCAUCUUGGCUGUUAGCUAGCCACGCUCCAAUGCUAUCAAGUGACACUAGAUUCCAGACAUCCAGCCAGCAACGAGGCAUGCCCAAAACCAUCAAAUGCAAAGGAGUAAUAACAAUUACUGAACUCGGUGGAGAAGGAUCCACCUGCGUCCAAUCUACUCCAACCAUUGUGCCUCUCACAUGACACAAAUCGAGUUACCUAUGUGAUAACCCGACUCUUGGUAGCUUGGCAUGUAAGGGUAUCAACAAAAUUUAUACCUAAGGUCCUUACACUAAAGUAGCAAAGCUACUAUAGCAUAGUGGCUCUAGGAUCGAACACUGGGAAGGGUUUUUACUUUAACUGGUGAGGUUCGGAGGAUGGAGUGAACUUUUCUUAAUAAAAAUUAGGUUAAGAUGAUAACAUAAAAAGAUGAAGGUGCUGUAAACUAAACUAACAUGAAAAUAGGUUAAAAGAUGGAAAAAGAAGUUUCUCAAAGCUUUGGAUAGCCAUGCUUAACUCACUGUGUAAAAAUGGAGAUUUUGGGACUCUUCACCUCGAGUUGGGGAAGCAACUAAGGUGAUGCUUACUUCUCGAACCGGUAUGAGUUUAACAACUGAGUUUUAGUCCUUAAAAACUUACAAAAAGGGUAGCUGAACCUCAUAAAUGCUCUUUUAUUGGUAUAGGUCAUCUCCUCGACUUGCAAUACAAUGGCUUGUAGGAGAUAACUAAUGAACGUCAGUGGAUCUAACAAUAAGAAUCCACUGAGACCAAAAGGUUAUCAAGUAUUGGCCAUUCAAAGCAAGUCAGAGGGAUUAAAAGCUUUACUUUGAAUGAAAACAUUUAUGACGGUCAGCUACUUACAUUUAUGGCUUGGAAAUCUCCAUCCUGACACGGGAGCUUCACAUGGCAUCCAUUACUUCAAGAAACUAAAAGGUUUUAGCCUCUCAUCCUUGGGGAUUUCAUCCUCCAAGGAUGUUUGGCUACUAAGAAAAUGAGAAAGAAAAGAGAAAAGAAGCGUAUGAACAAAAGUGCUCUUAUAACUUAUAAAGUUACAGGUUACAAGAUAUUUGUUUGAGGCUCUUCACCUCUAUUUAAAGAUAAUGACAAGCUAAAUUACAAGAGCUAUUACAAAAGCAACCUAUUCAUUGGUUGAUUACAAGGGUAAAAUAGGUAUUUACAAAGCUAAAAAUCAAGCAAAAUAUCUUGGAGAACCGGCAGUGGAAUAUCAUCAACAGCGUCUCAAAACAGGGGAUUUCAAAGGCAUUUUCGCAAAGGGGAAAGAUGAAGGGUCCAAAUUUCGCAAGGUGAAAAGCCACCUUGCGAAAUUUCGCAAGGUGGGUCUUCAUGGUGCGAAAUGGCCAAAUUUCGCACCAUGAAGAAAAUCUCCUUGCGAAAUGGUGUUCCCAUGGCUUGAUGCAGUUCUCUUCCGAAGGCCAUAUCUUCCUCAUUUCAGCUCCAAAUUGUACACGGUUUGAAGCGUUGGAUUCUUGACUUCCUGAGCUUUGAAAUGGUUAGUAUGUAGAAAAUUGACUUCGGGAAGUGCUCUAAAAGUGUGAAAGAAGACUGCAGCUGCUGUCCUCUGUUUUCUUCACUUUGCUUGCUUUUCCUCUUUGCUUCUCUUUGCUUCUCUCCUUUGCUUGGCUUGUCUUAAUGAUCCAAAAAGCUGUCAAAACACUAAAACUAGCCACAAAUAUGAUUAGAAGUCAUUGCUAAGUCCUUAACAUGCCAAUUGGGAUAAAGAUGGAGAACUACUACACAAAAGUGCUUAAAACAUAAUGAAUUAAAGGCGCAAAAUGACACUUUUUGGGUAGUAAUCACUAUGCUACCUCCCUUCUCACACCAGAUGAAUUGGAAUUGCUCUGAAGGAUGCUUCAAUGACACAAAGACAUCUUCGCUUGGACUUAUUCUGACAUGUUAGGAAUCCAUCCAUUUAUGGCCUCUCACAUGCUCAACAUCAUACCCUCCUCGCGUCUCGUCCGAUAGAAGGUUCAACACUUCCAUCCGGAUAGGCAGAUGAUCAUCUAGGAUGAGAUUGACAAGUUGCUAGUAGUCAGAUUUCUUAGGGAAGUCAAGCAUCCAGAUUGGUUGGCAAACGUUGUGGUCGUUCCAAAGAAGGAUGGGAAAUGGUGAGUUUGCGUCGACUACACCAACCUGAAUGACUUCUGUCCGGAGGAUAGUUUUCCCUUACCUCGAAUAGAUUAGAUAGUUGAUGCCACUAUCGGGUAUAUAAUGCUCUCUUUCAUAGAUUCUUUCUCGGAUACCACUAGAUCCCCAUGUUCCAACCAGAUGAAGAAAAGACAACCUUUGUGACACCACACGGGCUGUACUGCUACAAUGUCAUGCCGUUCAAGCUCAAGAAUGCUGACGCUACUUAUUAGAGAUUAAUAACAAAGAUCUUCAAGCCCUUGAUCGGCUAAACUGUGGAAGUCUACAUCGAUGACAUUGUUGUGAAGAGUAGAACCCGAGGUGAACACGCUUAGAGCCUAGAAGAAACAUUCAGCUUGAUGCGGGCAUACAACAUGAAGUUCAACCUAGCUUAGUGCGCUUUUGGCGUCAAUGCGAGAAAGUUUCUAGGAUUUAUGGUGACUCAAAGAGGAAUUGAAGUUCAUCCGGAUCAUACAAGAGUCGUCCUUGAAACACUUGCCCCGAGUAGUAAAAAAGAGUUGUAGUGCCUCACGUGUCGUCUGGCCGCUUUGGGGUGCUUCAUAGCCCGUUUCACAAACAAGCUAAGGCAUUUCUUCCUCACGCUCAGGGAGGCAAGCACAUUUGGUUGGACGGAUGAAUGAAGGUAGACGUUUGAGGAAGUCAAGCACUACCUCACUAAGUCACUCAUUCUGAACAACCCUUAGUCUGGCGAACAACUUUACAUGUAUUUGGUCAUAUCGGACUAUGCAGUCAAUGUUGUUCAAUUUUGGCACAUAUGAGACAAAGAGCAAAAACCUAUCUACUAUGUGAGCAAAGCAAUGGUAGACGCAGAGACCCAGUACUUCAGAAUGGAGCAGAUGACCCUAGCCUUGACAAGCACCUCCCAGAAACUCCGCCCGUACUUCUAGGCUCACCAAGUGACUAUACUUACUAAUCAACCACUUUGAAGCACCUUGCACAAACCAGAUUUGUCUGGACGAAUGUUGAAAUGGGUUAUUAAGUUGAGUGAAUAUGGAAUCGAAUACCAACCAAGAUUAGCAUUGAAAGGGCAAGUCAUGGCUGACUUUAUAGUCGAACUCUCCCAAAAAUUGGCACAUUCAGUUGAGUCCCCUGUGGAGGAAUGGUCAGGUUAAUUUACCUACUAAAAUAUCGCCCGCAUGAAAAAAAAAAAGGCUCGAAUGGGACACUUUAUGUGGACAGAGUGUCUAGAGCUUCCGGUUCCGGAGUAGGUUUGAUCCUAUAGUCACCAACCAAAGAACUAUUAGAGUAGGUAUCCAACUCAACUUUUUUACCUCUAACAAUGAAGCAGAGUAUGAGCUGUCCUAGUUGGGUUAGACCUUGCCCUUAAUUUGGUUGCAACAAAGUUAGAAAUACGUAGCGACUCUCAACUAAUCAUCAGGCAAAUUCAGAAAGAAUACGAAGCAAAUGAUGAACACAUGGCUAGCUAUCUCACAAUGGUUAAAGACUGCUUGAAAGGCUAGAUGAAUGGAAGAUCAGACGAAUACUUCGGAUGAAGAAUUUGAAGGUUGACGCAUUGGCCGAAAUAGCUUCCACUCUUCCUAUAAGAGAGGCAGUAAUGUUGUUCGUCUACCUCCAAGCCACAUCCUCAAUCACACCAAAUCCAGUAUGUAGUACCAUUGAGAUGGACCCCGGUUGGAUGCAUGACAUUGUGAAAUACCUCUAGAUGGGAGAACUACCAGAAGAUGAGAAGCAUGCACACAAAGUUUGUAUACAGGUCGUCCGCUUCACUCUAAUCAAUGACCGUCUUUAUAGAUGGUCAUUUGGGGGACCAUACCUAAGAUGCUUGAGUGAUUACUACUCAAAAAGUGCUAUUUCAUAGCUUGUAAUUAACUCUUUUAAACACUUUUGAGUAGUAGUUAUCACCUUUUAACCCAAUUAACAUAUUAAGGACCUUUGCAAUCAUUUCUAAUCAAAUUGUGUAAGUUUUGGUGUUUUUGUUAGCUUUUUGAUCACCAAAGCAAUCCAAGAUUGAGGAGAGUUCUUUGGAAUCCAUGGAAAAGCAAAUGGAAAGCUCAGAAACAUGAAGAACCGAAGCUUUGAAGUCCUUUGCCAUAAGCAAAUCCGGAAUGACAUAGCAAGGCUUGUGCACUUUAGUCAAUGAUCCGGACAACAUAUCUGGAUAGGAUAUGCUAUCGUCCAGGUGUGAUGAUCGCGAGUGCUGUGUGCUUCUCCCUGAGGGAGUCCGGAUAGGGGAGCGCGCCACGUGUCCUCUUGGGGAAUCCAGAUGGAGUUGCUCCGGAUAGCGAUGCGCGCUCCGUGUCAUUAGGGGGAGGGGUCCCUACACCUUGCACACGCAGACGGUCCCCCUUGCGACGUUCCACCUUCUCCGGAUAUCUCACAUCCAGAAUUCUGUCCGACUAACGUUCCAUCUUCUUCGGAUAUCUCACAUCCAGAAUUCUGUCCGGCUGACGUUCCACCUUCUCCGGAUAUUUCACAUCCGGUGCCUGACGCCGGAUGGGAGAGGAGGGCAUUUCAACUUCCCUGGUCAGACAUAUCCGGAUCCUCUGAUAGCGCUUACCCGGAGAGUUUUGCAGCCAUCUUGCACAGUGCCGCGGUUUUCUCCUGAAGCUUCCCGAUAUUUGCAACCGACAUUAUGAGAUAUUUUGCUUUAGAUAUUUGAUGUCUAAAUCCCCAAACUAUCCUUGUAACCCACCUAUCAUAGGAUUCCUUAGUCUUUAAGUAAGAACCAAGGGUGAAUAACCUCUUAUAUAUAGUUGUAAUUUUCUUUACAAGAAGAAGAGCUCGGGAGCUUGUUCUCAGAGACAACUUUUUGUAUAGUUUGAAAGGAAGUAAAAUACAGAGCUUUGCUAUGCCUUACCUACUCAAUUUGAUUGUAUUUUUCAUUACUAGCCAAACAAGCUCUGAGGAUGUUUCCUCAUAGAAUGGGUGGCUAGGCUCUUCGUUUCAUGGAGCUAAGGUAGCCGGGUAAGGUCCCGAAUGCAAGAAUUGAGAGUUUUGUUGUUUCAGCUAUUAAUGAAGAGAAAGUGUAACCUGUUUAUGAUUUCUAUGUUUUUAGUUAACUUAAAACACCUUCAAUUCACCUGAGCCAACACUUGGUAAGGCAAGUGAUCUCCGUCCAUGGAGAUGCACUAGUUUACCUCUUGCGAGCUUUUGGGAGGUGACUUGAAGGUAGGAUUUUCUAGAAUUGCCAACACUUGGUAAGCUUUUGGACUCUAAGGAGGCAUCCAUUAGUUAUCUCUUGCGAGCUUAAGAAGGAAAAUCCAAGGUUAAUGAUCACCUUGAAUGGUAAAUGCUAGGUGAGAGGCACGAGCCAUUGCAAGAUGCAUCAGUGAGAGGGAAUUAGUGCUGAAAUCCAUAAAAGGGAAGUAUUUGUACAACACCGGUUGGAGAAUGAACUAUAUGUUAAUUCUCUAAUGCGAGGAAAAGAACCAAAGUGACCAGAACUCUGUUUUUGCAUGAAAAGCCUGACCCCAGUGAUCCUAAAACUCCAAGAGACGCUUUUUCUUUAUAAGUAAUUCCCAUUACUUUCUUUUUAGUUAGCUUGAAACCAAACCUUUUUCAACCAAAGUUUAUGUUUUCUUUUGAAGCUAACCUUGAAAUAAAAAGGAACCAAUUCAACUUUGAAUUGGUAUCAGUUGUAAGUUGAAAACCCUUCCCAGUGAACGAUCCUAGAGCCACUAUGCUAUACUAGCUUAUGCUAUCCUAGUGCAUGGUGAUAUAGGUUACAAAUUUUGUUGAUUACUUCCUCAAUCAAGGAGCACCAGCUGGACAUCAAUCAGCUGAGACACCAAUUGGGAACGAAUCAUUGAGCGAUCCGGAAGCUAAAUAUGUCCUGGUCGAACUCCAUGAAGGUGUGUGCGGCAAUCACCCAGGCGGACGAACUCUAUCCUAUUGCGCUUAUACGCAAGGGUACUAUUAGCCCACCAUGAAGCAAGAUGCUGAAAAUUAUGUUAAGAGGUGCAACCGGUGUCAAAGGUACACUCCCAUCCCUUGUGUGCCUUAUGAAGCUCUCAAUCUUGUCACAAGCCUAUGGUCGUUCCUACAAUGAGGGAUGGACAUAGUUGGCCCCUUACCCGUUGUAGUAGCACAAAAGAAAUUUUUGCUCAUAGCAAUCGACUAUUUUAGCAAAUGGCUAGAUGCAGAAGCCUACGCUAGUAUGAAGGACAAAGAUGUCUCCAAGUUCAUCUAGAAAAACAUCGUGUGCCGGUUUGAAGUCCUACAAGCGAUUGUGGCAAACAAUGGGUCGUAAUUUGACACUAUCAUUUUCAAAACGUUCUGCUUGAAGUUAAACAUUAAGAACCUAUAUUCAACGACCCGCCAUCCUUAGAGCAAUGGGCAAGUGGAGAUAACAAACAAGACCCUACUGAUUGCAAUAAAGAAAAUGCUGGAAUGAGCUAAGGGGAAAUAGGUAGACGAAUUGCCCAAAGUUUUGUGGGCUUAUCGAACAAUGUCUAGACGACCAAUAGAAGCUACCCCUUUCGCCCUUGCCUAUGGAAUGGAAGUCGUUAUUUUGACUAAGAUAGGCAUGCCUACCGCCAAAACGGUUGUGCAAGGUCAAAGAGACAACAAUAAGGAACUCAAAAAAUAGAUGGAUUGGGCAGAUGAAACACGAGGAAACGCGGCUAUCCGGAUGGCUUCCUAUCGCCAGAGAGCAAUUUCUUAUUACAACAAAAAGGCAUGGCCACAAGUUUCCGAACAGGAACCCUAGUUCUUAAAGAAGUCUUCGAGAACACAGCCGAAAGGGGGGGUCGAAAAGCUUUAGGCUAAUUAGGAAGGGCCUUACGUUGUGACUAAGGUUGGAAGCUCAGGGGCAUACCAUCUCCACAUACUGGACGGCGUACCCCUACUCCAUCCUUGGAUGUAUCCAAUCUAAAGCAAUACUAUCAAUGAAGUUUACCCAUGAACACAGUAUGAGAAAAGUAAAUAAAAAAGAUAAAGAUAUAUAUAUAUAUAUAUAUAUAUAUAGAUAAUAAAUGUUCAAUGUCUAUAAAAAUUUCCGCCUAGGCUAUCUUUGGCUAGGAAAAACUUAAAAAAAAUAACAAGGUCAAGCAUGUCCGCUAGAGCGUCUGGCUCUAGAAGCAUCUCCUUCUCCCCAAGCAAGGUCGCCUAUAGCUCCGUCCUCAUCAUCAGAAGGAAAACUAGGAGUAUCUUAGGUAAUGCCAUGUUUCUUCAUACAACAUCGAUAGCCAUAGAAGAACAUGUCAUCCACUUGUUUCUGAUACUCAACUUCUAACUCUUCCUUCUGAACGACGAACCCCGCCCAGAGCUCCUGCAGCUCUUGUCUCAGCCACUCAGUCUCCUCCUUGGCCUUCUUCUUGCUAGCCUCCAUCACCUCCCUCUCCUUAGGCACCCGAUGAGCCUCAGCUUCAGCUUCAUCCUUUCCCUCUUCUGCUUUCCUCAACAGCUCAACCCUUUCAUUAGUAAGUUUCCGAGUAGCUAUAAAAAUAGCAAUCAACCAAGCAGCUAUAAAAACAUCACUUAUUAGUUAUUCAAGAUAUUUUACGAUGGAUGGAGAAUCAAAACCCACAUAAAUUUCAAGUUUUUAUUGGGGACUAUUUUAGUGAAUUAUGUAGGUACAAUUUGUAUAUGUGCUACACAAUCAAAGAUUCAUAAGUGAGAGACAUUCAAUUGUUUUAUAAGUACAAGUUAUGAAGGGGAUUAUUCAUGGUAAGCUACAACAUGCUUAACAAGUCCCUAAAAAGAAGUAGGUAAUCCAAUUUUCAUUAGUAAGAGUCAAGCAAUUAAUUAUAUGCUUUUGAUAAGAGAUUCUUCAUAUCAUUAUGGGUAUGAGUAGCGAGAUGCUCAAUAUCAAUCCUAACCGACAUGCAAUAAUCAAUGAAUGUUUGAGAAGUAAAUUUUCCAACAUUAUUAAGUUGUAUUGUCUUGAUUGAAUAAUCUCGAAAUUGUGCUUGUAGUUUGAUUGUUUAUGCCAAGAGCCUAGCUAAAGCAAUAUCAUGUGUAGAAAGGAGACAGACUUGUGACUACCUACUAGAGGUAUCUAUUAAGAUCAUACAGUAACAGAAUGAUUCAUAUGGUGGAUGGAUAGUCCUACAUAUGUCCUUAUGUGUUCUUUUUAAGAAGACUAACAACUUAAAUAUGAUUUUAGUUCAAGAUGGUUUAACUAUCAAUUUUCCUUGUGAGUAAGUAGCUUAUGAAUAUUCAUCAGGUAAAAGAAUUUCUUAGUUCUUUAAUAGAUGCCCUUUUAUGUGCUCUACCAUUCAAUGCAUCAUUUAAGUCCUCGAGUGGCCUAACUGUUUAUGCUAAAGCAUAAAAUUUUUAGAUUGUAGAAUUCUUGUUCAUGACAACAUAUGACUCAAUAGACUUUAUGGUUACAUAAUACAACCCAAAGAAGAAAGCUAUGAGCUUUUCCACUAUAAGCUUUUGGCUAGAAAUAAUAGAAGUAAUCUAAAUAUAUUCUACAUUACCUACAUUCAUAGUUUUAAGAUGAUAUACAUUUCUAUGAAUAUCUUUUAAGACUAAGAAUUUUAUUUUAUUUUAUACUUUUUCUAGAAUAUAAAACAACAUUUAUAUGAAAUAUAGUUCCUUUUGAUAGCAUAAUAUUUGCUCUUUUGAAGUCUCGAAUCAAGUUUAUAAUAUUUGAAAUAGUACUAACAUUAGCCUUUACUAACGUCAAAUUGAAAAAUACCUUUUAUCUCAAAGGAUUGUAUAAUGAUUAUUAAUUAUUACACAAUCUUUGAGACAUACAUCUUCCUUGUUUAUCAUGAAAACAACAUAUGCAUUCUCAUAUAUGAAUAAAAUUUGAAUAAAAGAUAUAUGAUAAAUAAAAAUAAUAAAUAUAAUGACAACAUACUAUGUAUCAUCAAUUAAUAAGAAUAUUUUUAUCAUUCGUUAGAAGAUCAAUUUUUAACUAGAAAAUUUAAAGAAAUUAAGAUAUAUCAAAGUCAAUAAAAUCUAAUCCAUCACACUAUAAGAAAAAAGAUAUUUGUUUACGACAUCAAUGUUGACACAAAGAAAAUUGAGUCAACAUAGGAAAUUUUAGGACAAUGUUGAUAGUAAAGGAGAGCUAUAGUGAUAGUAUUUUAAAAUAGCAUCAACAUAACACAAAAUAUAUUUUUUUACUCUCAAUAUUGUGUCUCUCUCUUAUCGAGUGAACUAUCUUUUUCAGGUUAGUUUUUCUUCAAUCUCAAUCUCAAACCCUAUAUUGCAUUUCCCUGUCUUUUCUCUCACAAUCUUUUUGUACUAUAACCUAGUUGACAAAUCCUAAGUCAAUUGAAUGUUGAAGAAGAACAACAAUUUUUUAAAGAAACAUACCAAAUUAUUCUCAACUCCAAUUAUUAUUAUUAUUAUUAUUAUCUUAAGAUAUUUUGUGUAUUUACCUAUUCUCUCCUUGUAAUCAAUUAAAGAUCCUUUUAGAUAUUUAGGAUAUCUAAUUGAGGGGUUAAAAAUAUCUCUCUAUAUAUGUCUUAAGAUAUUCGUUAAUUUAUAACACUUACAUAAAAUAUUCGUUAAACUCCCUGUGUCUAUAAGAAUUCGAUGUACCUCAUAUGACCUGAGCUGUAAUGUGACCAUAAGAGGGUCAUCAUGAGGUAAGAAUACAUGACUUGGAUCCUUUACUAUGAACUCAAUAGUUGGUGCAUUCACCUUCACACAACCUAUCAUCUGAGCAUGCACCUUAGGUUGGGUGAGUUCUCGAUGCUUCAUUAGGCGCUGUAAACUUCAAUUAUUUAGUCAACGUUGAGUUUAGUUGGCCAAAUAGUCAUUGACAACUUGUAUGACUGGUGAUGGGUUAACUUUCAGCUUUAUCGUGUCUGCAAAAUCAUUGUGCUUGACCUCUAAGUUCAGAUUAGGCUAUGUAGAGUUUUUCUUCACAUAUUGGUGUAGUUUUCCUUUUUGCACUUGAUUUUUGAGAUAUCUUCUCAAUGCCUUACUGAUUACUACUCAAAAAGUGCUCUUUUAUAGCUUCUUAUAAACUUUUUUAAACACUUUUGAGUAGUAUUUAUUACCUUUUAACUCAAUUGGCACAUUAAGGACCCUUGCAAUUUUCACUAAUCAGUUUUUGGCAAGUUUUGGUGUUUUUGAUAGCUUUUUUAUCAUUAAAACAAGCCAAGAAUGAGGGAGAACUUUGUGUAGUCCAUGACAAAGCAAGUUGAAGCUAAAUUACAUGAAGAAUCCAAGUUUUGGAGAGCUUCGAAGCCUUUGCCAAAUCAAUCAAGUAUGCAAGGAAGAGAAUUAGAGAAGGAAUCUAACAUUCAACAAUUUCGCAACCCCUUUGCGAAAAUUUCGCAAACUUGCAAAAUGCCCAAGAGGAGUACAAGGUGCAGGAUAGAGCGCGAGGCUGUGAAGAAGGAAUUUCGCAAUCCCUUGCUAAAUUUUCGCAAGCCUUGAGAAAUCUUCCUAUAAUCUUCAGAUAUUUUUGCACCAACUCCGUUAGAUUUUUAUCUUAAGAUAUUUUGUGUAAUUACCUAUUCUCUCCUUGUAAUCAGUUAAAGAUGUUUUUAGAUAUUUAGGAUAUCUAAUUGAGGGGUUAAAAAUAUCUCUCUAUAUAUGUCUUAAGAUAUCUCUUUUUGUAAUAUCUCGGAAUCUCGAAAGAAAUUCUUGGGAUCACUUGUAAUCUCUAGGAAGAAAUUCCAGAGAAGACUUGUACAUUCUUUUUAGUAAGAAAUAUACAAAGCCUUGCUCUGCCUUACCUACUCAUUUUGAUUUUAUUUUCUUUCUAGCCAAACAACCUUUGAGGUUGUUUUCUCAGAGGAUGAGUGGCUAGGCUUUUUGUUUCUUGGACUGAAGAAAGCUAGGUAAGGGAUCCGGAUACAAAAGUGGGAGUUUUCCUUGUUUCAGUUUUAAAUGAAGAGAAGUUGUGAUCCGUUAAUGGUUUUUAUUUUUUUAGUUAACUUAAAAUCCCUUAAAAUACCUGGGCCAACACUUGGUAAGCUUUUCGGACUCCAUCCAUUGAGAUCCAUUAGUUAUCUCUUGCGAGCCUCUAGGAAGUGGUUUAAAGGUAGGAUUACCUAGAAUAGCCAACACUUGGUAAGCUUUUCGAACUCCCUGGAGACAUCCAUUAGUUAUCUCUUGCGAGCUUUUGACGGGUAAUCCAAGGUUAAGGAUCACCUUGAAUGGCCAAUACUAAGUGAGAGGUAUGAACCAUUGCAAGAUGCAUCAGUGAGAGGGAUUUAAUGUUUGAACCCAUUAAAGGGAAGCAUCUGUACCACACCGGUUCGGGAAAUAACUAUAUGUUAAAUCCCCAAUGCGAGGAAAAGAUUCAAGUGACCGAAACUCCCUUUUUGUACAAGGAACCUGAGCCCAGUGAUCCAACAACUCCAAGAAACACUUUUCUUAGUAAGUAAUUUCCGUUACUUUAUUUUUGGUUUCACUUAAAAACCAACCUUUUCAGACAUCUUUAUGUUUUCUUUUAAAGCUAACCUUGAAAUGAAAAAACACCAAUUCAACUUUGAAUUAAUAUCAAUUAUGAAGUGAAAACCCAUCCCAAUGAACGAUCCUGGAACCACUAUGCUAUGCUAGCUAAGGCUAUCCUAGUACAUGGUGAAAUAGGUUAUAAAUUUUGUUGAUUACUCCCGUUUGAGGACCGAAAUCAAGGUACACUAGUUGAUUGAGCACCAAUCAAUAGGACGUACACCAGUUGGGCACUGAAAUCAAAUGGUUCCAUUGUCGGGGAACCAUUGAGAGGACAAGAAUCAACUGGUACACCAAUUGGGAACGAAUCACUAUUGCAUGGCGUUUAGGAGUAGGACUCCCUAAGAAUCGAAGAUCUUCCCUCAAUACUUUAGCUUGGUUUACUCUGAAUGUCCACUCCUGUUGCACCAUAUGCACAUGCAAUAAUAUCACUAUAAAGAUCACACGAUGUCAUUGGGUAAUAAAACUCAUCCUCUAAUGCCCAAUAUUGACAAGUGAUUUCAUAGAUUUGUUGCGGGCUGUAAAAUUUUCCGAAACAACUCAUUGAGUAAAGGUAGUUAUUCGCCAUCUCUGUGGAUUUGUUCGACUCUUCUCGUAAUGGUAGGCUAAAAAGAACAACUUUAUACCCUAAUAUACUUAUUGCUACUGGAUGACGUAACAAUGAUGUCUCAUAUGAAACAAUAGAUUUAACUAUGUACCAAUCCCUAACAUGACUAGCCACAUUAUCAUAUGUAUAGCACCCGAUGCCUUUGUACUUGCACCUACAAUGUUACUCAAGCAAAUGAAAAAGAAUCAAUAUUAUGAUAUGACAACUAGGCAACAACAUCAACAUUAAUGCAACACUGUUUCAUUUCGGCCAUGCUAGAUGUGUUUAAAACACAACGUUGUAAACAAAGUGUCUCCCAUAUAGGAAAAAUGAGUGAUCCCAUUAUAGAGAGGUUACAUUCCCACAAGCGAUACAAUCGUCAUUGGGUAAUAGGGAAACCAUAUAGCUAUGGAGGUCUAUGGUAUAAGGAUCAAAGAACAUAUUAUGGAAAGUUAGAACGUGAAUGGUCUAAUCAUGUUGAUCAGUCGAAUGCAUUCAUAAAGGAUCUUCGCACGUUAAAUUGCCUAAGAGUGCAAAGGCAUUCAUUAACAAUGGCUCAUCGUAACAUAGUGGAAUAUGCGAUAGCUAUUUUACAAAUAAGAGAAGAUAACAAUCAUAUGCUAAUUCAAAAGGCAAGAUAUUACAUCCUCAAUGUUUCCACAACAAACAUAGAGGAUAACAAUAGAAUUCUAUCUGAGAUAGAAAUCAACUAUCACCAUAUGAUGCUAGGAUAUAGAUAUGAUUUUCAUAUGUCAAACAAUGAGCCCGAGUAAUGGAUGGAAAUAAUUAUGUCAUAAAUUUUGUUACGAUGAUUUUUGGCAAUGUAAAAUAGGUGGAUUUUUACAGUAGUUAUGGCAAAAUAAAUUGUUACUUCCCACGCAAUCAAAGCGUCUUGUCAAAUUUCCUACAAAUUUCGAUUGUGGUGGUCAUACUUAUCAUUUUAAUUAAGGAAUAUUUUUAAAUAGCGUCUAUGCAUGUUUGUGUUACUAAUUCGUCCUUUAUAAAAUGUGGUAUACCAAAUCCUAAUGCUAGCGGGACCCCCAUCUUAUGACCUAUGGUCCAAUGUGGUUCAUUGAGGAACCCAUAAGGAAGUGAUUGGGGGCUCAUCUCCACCUUGGAAAGCACUUUGGAACCCCUUGGUACAUCCUUCACAAAAUUUGGUACAUUCGAUCCUAUUGCUUUUGGGACCCUCAUUUGAACAUGGAUGGUCCAUAAUUUCAUUUAGGAACCCUUAAGGAAGUGAUCGGGGCUUGACCCCCACCUAGGAAAACACUUUGGAACCCUUGGUACAUCCUUCACAAAAUUUGGUACAUCUUUUAUAAAAUUUGGUACAUCCCAUCUUAUAAGCUAAGGGCCAUAAUUUCAUUUGGGAACCCAUAAGGAAGUGAUUGGUGGUUGAUCCCCACCACGAAACACGCUUUGGAAAAUUUGGUACCUCCAAUCCUAUUGCUUCUAAGACCCCCAUCUUAUCACCUAGGGUCCAUAAUUUCAUUUGGGAACCCAUAAGGAAGUGAUUCGUGGCCGAUUACCACCUUGAAAUGCACUUUGGAACUCUUGGUACAUCAUUCACAAAAUCUAAUACAUGUUUCACAAAAUUUGGUACAUCCGAUCCUAUUGCUUCUGGAACCCUCAUCUAAACACGGAUGAUCCAUAAUUUCAUUUAGAAACCCUUAAGGAAGUGAUUGGGGCCCGAUUCCCACCUCCGAACACACUUUGGAACCCUUGGUACAUCCUUCACAAAAUUUGGUACAUCCUUUAUAAAAUUUGAUACAUCCCAUCCACCUGCUUCCGAAACCCCCAUCGUAUCACCUAGAGUUCAUAAUUUCAUUUGGGAACCCAUAAGGAAGUGAUUGGGGGUCGAUCCCCACGUCAGAAUGCACUUUGGAACCCUUGGUACAUCCUACACAAAAUUUGGUACAUCCCAUCCUAUUGCUUUUGGAACCCCCAUCGUAUCACUUAGGUCCAUAAUUUCAUUUGGGAACCCAUAAAAAAGUUAUUAAGGGUCGAUCCCCACCUCAAAACGUACUUUGGAACCCUUGGUACAUCUUUCAGAAAAUGUUAUGCAUGCUUCAACAAAUUUAGUACAUCUGAUCCUAUUACUUUCGGGACCCCCAUCUGAACAUGGAUGGUCCAUAAUUUCAUUUAGGAACCCUUCAGGAAGUAAUUAGGGGUCGAUUCCCACCUCUAAACGCACUUUGGAACCCUUGGUACAUCAUUCACAAAAUUUUGUACAUUCUUUAUAAAAUUUGGUACAUCCAAUCCUAUUGCUUAUGGAAACCCCAUCGUAUCACUUAGGGUCCAUAAUUUCAUUUGGGAACUCAUAAGGAAGUGAUUGGGGGUUGAUCCCCAUCUCGAAAUGUACUUUGGAACCCUUGGCACAUCAUUCUCAAAAUUUGGUACAUGUUUCAUAAAAUUUGGUAUGUUCAAUCCUACUGUUUCCGAGACCCCCAUCUGGAAAUGGAUGGUCCAUAAUUUUAUUUAGGAACCCUUAGGAAAGUGACUGGGGGCCAAUUCCCACCUCCAAAUGCACGUCGAAACCCUUGGUACAUCCUUCACAAAAUUUGGUACAUCCUUUAUAAAUUUUGGUACAUCCCAUCCUAUUACUUCUAGAGCCCCCAUUGUAUUAGGUAGGGUCCAUAAUUUCAUUUGGGAGCCCAUAAGGAAGUAAUUGGGGGUUGAUCCCCAUCUCAGGAUGCACUUUGGAACCCUUGGUACAUCAUUCACAAAAUCUAGUACAUGUUUCACAAAAUUUGGUAUAUUCAAACCUAUUGCUUUUGGGAUGCCCAUUUAAAAUUGGAUGGUCCAUAAUUUCAUUUAGGAAUCCUUAAGGAAGUGAUUGGGAGUCAAUUCCCACCUCCAAACGCACUUUUGAACCCUUGGUACAUCCUUCACAAAAUUUGGUACAUCCUAUCCUAUUGCUUUUGGAACCCCCAUAGUACUACCUAGGGUCUAUUAUUUCAUUUGGGAAUCCAUAAGGAAGUGAUUGGGGGUCGAUCCCCACCUUAGAACGCACUUUGGAACCCUUGGUACACCCUUCACAAUAUUUUUUACAUCCAAUCCCAUUGCUUCCGAGACCCCCAUCUGAACAUAGAUAGUCCAUAAUUUCAUUUAGGAACCCUUAAGGAAGUAAUCGGGGGUCGAUCCCCACUUGGCAAUGCAUUUGGAACCCUUGGUACAUCCUUCACAAAAUACGGUAUAUCCUUCACAAAAUUUGGUACAUCCUUUGUAAAAUUUGGUACAUCCCAUCCUAUUGUUUCCGGGAUCCCCAUCUUAUCCCCUAGGGUCCAUAAUUUUACUUGGGAACCCAUGGUAUAUCUUUCACAAAAUUUGGUAUAUCCUUUAUAAAAUUUGGUACAUUUCAUCCUUUUGUUUAUGAGAUCCCCAUUUUAUCAGCUAGGGUCCAUAAUUUUAGUUGGGAACCCAUAAGGAAGUGAUUGUUGGUUGAUCCCCACCUCGCAACACGCUUUGGAAAAUUUGGUACAUCUUUCACAAAAUUUUGUAUAUCUAAUCCUAUUGUUGUCAAGACCCUCAUCUUAUCACUUAGGGUCCAGAAUUUCAUUUGGGAACCCAUAAGGAAGUGAUUAAGGCUCUAUCCCCACCUUGGAAUGCACUUUGGAACCCUUGGUUCAUCCUUCACAAAAUUUGGUAGAUCCUUCACAAAAUUUGGUACAUCCUUUAUAAAAUUUGGUACCUCCAAUCCUAUUGCUUUUGGGACCCCUAGCUUAUCACCUAAGGUCCAUAAUUUCAUUUAGGAACCAUAAGGAAGGGAUUCAUGGUCAAUCCCCACCUCAGAACACACUUUAGAACCCUUGGUACAUCUUUCACAAAAUUUGGUACAUCCUUUAUAAAAUUUGGUCCAUCUUAUUGCUUCUGGAACCCCAAUCAUAUCACUUAGGGUCCAUAAUUUCAUUUGGGAACCUAUAAGGAAGUGAUUGGGGGUCGAUCCCUACCUUGGAAUGCACUUUGGAACCCUUGGUACAUUCUUCAUAAAAUCUGGUACAUGCUUCACAAAAAUUUGGUACAUCGGAUCUUAUUGCUUCCAAGACCCCCAUCUGAACAUGGAUGGUCCAUAAUUUCAUUUAGGAACCCUUAAGGAAGUGAUUGGGGGCCGAUUCCCACCUCCGAAUGUACUUUGGAACCCUUGGUACAUCUUUCACAAAAUUUUGUACAUUCUUCACAAAAUUUGGUACAUCCUUUAUAAAAUUUGGUAUAUCCCAUCCUAUUGCUUUUGGAACCCCCAUUGUAUCACCUAGGGUUCAUAAUUUCAUUUGGGAACCCAUAAGGAAGUGAUUGGGGGUCAAUCCCCACCUUAGAACACACUUUGGAACCCUUGGUACAUCUUUCACAAAAUCUAGUACAUGCUUCACAAAAUUUUGUACAUUUGAUCCUAUUGCUUUCAAGACCCCCAUCUGAACAUGGAUGGUCCAUAAUUUCAUUUAGGGACCCUUAAGAAAGUGAUUGGGGUUUGAUUCUCAUCUCUAAAUUCACUUUGGAACCCUUGGUACAUCCUUCACAAAAUUUGGUACAUCCUUUAUAAAAUUUAGUACAUCUCAUCCUAUUGUUUUCAUGACCCCCAUCUUAUCACCUAGGGUCCAUAAUUUCAUUUGGGAACCUAUAAGGAAGUGAUUGGGGGGCGAUCCCCAUAUCUAAAUGCACGUUGGAACGCUUGGUACAUCCUUCACAAAAUUUGGUACAUUUUUCAUAAAAUUUGGUACAUCUGAUCCUAUUGUUGUCGAGACCCCUUAUAAAAUUUGGUACAUCUAAUCCUAUUACCACAAAGACAACCAUAUUAUCACCUAUGGUCCAUUAUUUCAUUUAGGGAUCUAUGUUAAUUGAUUAAAGGUCAUUCGCUACUCCUGAAUGGACUUUUAAACCCUUGGUACAUCCUUUACAAAUUUUGCUACAUCAUUUACAACUUUUGGUACAUCUUUUAUAAAAUUUGGUACAUUUGUAAGAAAAUUUGGUAUUUCAAAGCCUCAUGCUAUCGAGAACCCAUAAGAAAUGAUGGGAAGUUGUUCACCACCAUCUAACGGAGUUUCAAACCCUAGUAACAUUGUCCAUGGUGUUCUGUAUAUCUUUAAGAUCAAUAUGUUCCUUAUUAACUUUAAUAAAGUAUUGUACAUUUUUUUAACAUCAAUUCGAGACUUCAUGCCCUCUUACUUUAAUACAUCUAUAUAUAUAUGUGUGUGUGUGUGUGUGUGUGUGUGUGUUCAUUAAUAUGUGCAAUAAUAUGUAUAUUCCUUACAAAAAGACUUACAUCAUUUAUAAAAUGAGCAUAAAUUAUAUUAAUCCCCUCUUUGGACCCUAUUAGGUAUUUAAUUGCUUACAGCAAUGUUUGUAACUAACCUUGCCAAAAUUAAUUAACUAUAACAAUUGUCACAUUCACACCUAUUGUCAUUAUUAUUAAUGUCUCAUUUAGAUUACAAACAAUACAACUCAACUUCAUUAACACUAGAUGGUAUGACAUUAAUGUGCUAAACAUUAGAACGUAUGGUCUCUACCAAACAUCUGAUAAUGCAUAACUUUUCUUCAUUUAUUCCUUUGGUGCUCGCUUAUUUCAUAUGAAUGUUAAGUGUCAAUCUUUCAAGCUUUAGGCAUGCCUCCAUUUGCCUUACUGCCUAACCCAUACCUCAAAUCUAGUCAUCUUGAAGGCAUGCCUCAAACAAAAAAGUCAUGCUUAUCUUUUUCCUAUUGCACAUAGAUUAACAAAAUUAAGUUUUUCACCCACAUUCAUGUGUCUUCCCUGAAGGUUAUGCCCUUAGGUUGACUACUGCACAUAGCCUACUAAUAUAAUGGUUUCACCAAUAGGCAUGCCUCUAAAAUCAAGAGUGUGCCCUUAGUUUGCGUACUGCAUAUAGCAUACCAAAAUAAUGUUAACAUACCCAUGCCCAUGCCACCCCUAGAUUGACUUCUACACAUAACAUACCAAACUAAUGUUAUUGUAUAAAAGAAAUUCCAUUGAUUAUAAGGGUACAAUGUAAACAUUCGAAUGCCUUCCCAUGGUGUCAAUGGGUCAACCUCCCUUUUACCGACUCUUCACAUAACACAAAGCUAAUUUUAAAAAAGAAAAAUCAUAGGACUACCUAUGACCUAACAGACCUACCCUUAUUUUGGCUACUGCUCAUUUUACAUAAAACCAAAUAAUAUGAUUAAGGGUCAUUAGCCAAAAAGCGGCAGCCCUUACAUGUAAAGGUCGGCCACGAUUAUGCCCAUUGGUUAACAAUUUGUUUUUUUGCCAAAGACACCAUGUGAAUCUAUGUGACUUGAAUGGCAUCUUCGAACAAUCAUCACCAAGGUACACAUUUGUUAUUACAAUUACAUUAUCAUGUAAAAUAUCUCAUAAUAUUGAAGAACAACAUACAAUCACAAAAUGUGUACACCAAACACUACAAAUUCAAUAAAUUAGUCAUUGCUUAUAAUCAGGGAAACAACAAUGAAGAUUACCAAACUAUUACACACUAAUAUAAAGUCGAUGUUACUUUAUGAAGUUUAAUCAAAUAGUUACGACAAUGGGUUAUUACAUGUCACAUGAUUAUGCUAAGACUCAUUACAAUGAGAACAAUGAACUGUUUUUUUUUUUUACAUGAAUUGAGACUUGGUUCGACGUUUCCUAGGUUUUCCAAGAGGUCACUUUAUGGUUGAAGGAUUAAGAUAGGGAUAAGUAUGACCCAAGGCAUCACGAACGGUUCCAUCUUCAUCAAUCAUUGGCAUGUCAUGUGUUACCAAAGUACGCAUGUUUUCAGAGUAUAUCUUCUCUUGCAAAUUGUACUUAUACCAAUCAUCAACAAAAUCAAAUACAUUGAACCCCAUUCGCCGUAUAGUUGCACGAGUGUGAUCAUAUGGGAUUCCAAACAUUUGCCAUGUUUUGCAUGUGCAAGGUCACUCUAUUAUGUCCACUUCCAAGAAUGCUUUUCCAUUGGAUGCUUUCAUCGAACUACCCAAGUUUAAAUAAGUGAUAUCAUUUUCACAUUUUGUAACCUUCAAUGCAAUCUUUUAUUUUAUUUUAAGACCAAUGCACCCAUUCCAUUUUACAAGUCCAUUUUUGUGCUCGACUAAAAGAUAUCCUAACUUAUCCAUAUGCUCAAUGAAGAAAACACAAAUGUUAUGGUGUCGUUCAUGUCUUAACCAAGAAUUGAAAGACUCAGUGAGAUUACUUGUCAUCUUAUCCCAACACAUCUUCUUAAAUUUAGAGAUUGCCCAAUGUUGAGGGUUAUUUUCUUCAAAUCAUGAUUAAAUGUCCUUAAAGUAUCCAUUGUAACCUCAUAAUCACAAUCUAACCUAGCAUAGGCAAUAGAAUUGAGCAUUUGCAAAGCAUUUUCCUUCUCUUUCCUCCCUUUAAUGUUCAGCUUUGUUAAAAAGCUACUGAAGUUUUCUUUAAUGUGACGAUAGCAAUGUGCAUGGUUUUCACUGCCAAAUAUCUCUAAAACACUAUGGAUAAUCCCUUGGUGCCUAUAAGAUAUUAUUAUAGCCUCUCUUUUACCUAUGACCAUCUUCAAUUUCUCUAAGAACCAAAGCUAAUCCUUGUAAUUCUCAGAGCUAAAUAAGCUAUAAGCAAGUGGAAACAUGCCAUUGUCAGCAUCAUACGAAGAAGCUGAAAAUAAAGCACCCUUGUAUGGCCCACUCAUGUGGGAUGAAUCUAUUAAUAUAAUAGGCCGACACCCCCUUUUAAACCCAUGUAUUGACACUGAAAGGGCAACAAACAAUUGUAUGAAGUGACUAUCAUCCGAACAUCUAUAUUUAACAAUCAACCCUAGAUUUGUUUCAAUAAUCCUUGGACACAACCAAGGUAACAACUUAUAUGAACAUUAGGGCACACCGUGAAUUCGUUCUUUAGCCUUCUCUUUCAAGUUCCAUGCUUGAUAAUAAUUCAAUUGCAUUUCGUAUUGUUGAUGAAAGUCUUUACAUAUUUGACAGGGCAAGUAAUCUGGAUUUGAAAGAAUAACAUCAUCAAUCAUAGUUGUGGCUUGAUUACAACGAACUGCUGGUUUGAAAUUUGACACAUCUUCUAAAGAGUGGCUAUGUUCAUUUCUAAAUAUAUGCACCUGAACUAUUUUUGUUCUACUAAUAGCACGAGCAAUUACUUUCCAAGGGCAUCCUUCAACAACACAUAUUACAACCCUAUGCUUAAGACAAUUCCUCUUGAACUUAUAUCUAAAACGGCAUCCUAAUGACAUGAGAUAUAUUACACCCUAAAAGUCAUUUUCAGUUGAGAAAGGAUGCCCACUACCUAAUAUUGUGCUCUCAAAAUGACUUGACUCUAGUGGACCGACAUGUGAUUCAACACAUCUUUGAUGAAAUCCUCGUGAUUGCAUUCUAAUAUCAAUAUCCCUUAUUGAAUAUGGGACCAAUGAGUUAGACUCUACCAUUGUUUCGUUCAAUCUACAUUAUAAAUAUGUUUAUUUAUCAACUUAUCAUCUAAUGAAUAAACAUAAAUAUUCAAAAAUAAAUAAAUACAUGGAAUCAUUUAAGAUUAGAUAUUCUUUUCAUAUAACUUACCCUUGUCCUCCAUUCUCAACUGUUUCAUCAUCUUCAACUAUUGAUGAUAAACAUAUAUAUUCACAUGUUAAUUAGUCACUAAAUUGAAACAUGUUUAUCAAGUCUUCAUCACUUUUCAAAGUGCAUAUAGAUCAAACGGGAGAGUAUAAAAAAAUGUUGGUCCCACUAUAUCAAUGCUCAUUUUCCUAUAAAUCCUUGAAACAAAAUCAUUAUAUGUCAGUGAUUGUUCUAAACUUAUGUUCUCUUAUCUCCCACCCAUAUAUUCUACACUGCCAUGUUCACCCCUUACUAGUUCCUCUCCAAUAUCCAGAUAACAAUAAAUUGUAUUACUUUGAUCCAUUUAAAUGGUACUCGAUCAUGUGUAGCCCAUGUUUAAAAACAUGAACCUUUAGUCAAGUUGAAACCAUUAACUAAUUUCUUAAUAACAUUGCCUAAACCAAAUUACUUAUAUCAAAACUGAUUAUCAUGCCUAUGACCAUCAUAUAUUAAUUCAUCAUUUAUCUUUGGAACUUUACAAGCAAGCUUCAUUUACAUUUCAUGGUCUACAAUUAAUGUUGUAAAUAUAGACAUGCAUAGUGUAUACUUAACAUUAACCAAUGCGAUUAUUCUAUUUUAUUUGGUAGUAAUUUGCUAUGUUAUAUAAGUUGGGGAGUGAACAUCUCAAUUCAUGAGCCAACCAUUGUUUUUGUAACUCUUCAAACCAAAUUGUGUUAAUGUCCCUGUCUUUAGGCCAGCCCCUGAAACAAUGGGUCUUCCUUUAUUUUGCCUACUGCCUAGAUCAGAUCACAACAAUGUUAACAACUAAGGGCUUGUCUCCAAACAAAUGGGUUAGCCUAUAAUUCACUUACUGCAACCUCUUAUGAAAACAAUUAUUUCAUCCAAAUGUCAUUACCUGAAUUACGGUCAGCCCUUUCAUUCAAGGGUAGACCCAUACUAUGACUACUACACACAUAAACAAAACAAAUUUCAUAUUUGUGGCUGUGAGCAUCAGAUUUGCACCUAAGGCUCCACUACUAUUUUCCUUAAUUCCCACAUAAAUUCAUGUAUGCUUUACUAUAUUUUUUUUAUUUUCUUUUUCAAUUCAACCCCCAUUCAUUACAAAUUCAAAAAUUUUAUGAAUAAAUUUAUUCAAACUUUACUCCCAAUCAUUUUUAAAAUUUAUACUUAUCUACUCAUGACUAAACAUGAAUUCUUUUCCCAUGCAUUAAAUUCACCAAUUAACAACUAUGAAAAAUCACUCAACCUACUCAUUUUGGAAUCCUAUACAAACAACAUUAAAUAAUAAAACAUCUUGAAUCCUAUAUGAUAACCCGACUCUUGAUAGCUUGGCAUGUAAGGGUAUCAACAAAAUUUAUACCUAAGGUCCUUACACUAAAGUAGCAAAGCUACUGUAGCAUAGUGGCUCUAGGAUCGAACACUGGGAAGGGUUUUUACUUUAACUGGUGAAGUUCGGAGGAUGGAGUGAACUUUUCUUAAUAAAAAUUAGGUUAAGAUGAAAACAUAAAAAGAUGAAGGUGUUGUAAAAUAAACUAACAUGAAAAUAGGUUAAAAGAUGGAAAAAGAAGUUUCUCAAAGCUUUGGAUAGCCAUGCUUAACUCACUGUGUAAAAAUGGAGAUUUUGGGACUUUUCACCUCGAGUUGGGGAAGCAACUAAGGUGAUGUUUACUUCCCGAACCGGUAUGAGUUUAACAACUGAGUUUUAGUCCUUGAAAACUUACAAAAAGGGUAGCUGAACCUCAUAAAUGCUCUUUUAUUNNNNNNNNNNNNNNNNNNNNNNNNNNNNNNNNNNNNNNNNNNNNNNNNNNNNNNNNNNNNNNNNNNNNNNNNNNNNNNNNNNNNNNNNNNNNNNNNNNNNNNNNNNNNNNNNNNNNNNNNNNNNNNNNNNNNNNNNNNNNNNNNNNNNNNNNNNNNNNNNNNNNNNNNNNNNNNNNNNNNNNNNNNNNNNNNNNNNNNNNNNNNNNNNNNNNNNNNNNNNNNNNNNNNNNNNNNNNNNNNNNNNNNNNNNNNNNNNNNNNNNNNNNNNNNNNNNNNNNNNNNNNNNNNNNNNNNNNNNNNNNNNNNNNNNNNNNNNNNNNNNNNNNNNNNNNNNNNNNNNNNNNNNNNNNNNNNNNNNNNNNNNNNNNNNNNNNNNNNNNNNNNNNNNNNNNNNNNNNNNNNNNNNNNNNNNNNNNNNNNNNNNNNNNNNNNNNNNNNNNNNNNNNNNNNNNNNNNNNNNNNNNNNNCAAAGAGGGCUUCAAUAGAUUAUCAACUUUGAAAGCAUAAAACAAACUCUAAGACUUAAGUAAUUAAGUUAAAACUCGACUUAUCCUAUUUUAUUUUGAGAAAUUAUCUUUAACAACCAUAGAGAAUGAAACAAAAAAUUUUGAAAAAGGGCAAAAACUACUAAAUCAACAAAAUAACUAACUAAAAUAGGAAAUACUUACUUCCUCAACUCUCCCCCCAACCGAGAUGAACAUUGUCCCCAAUGUUUCUAUCGAAAAAGACGAGGAAGGAAUGAUAUACCUUAUGGUGAUGUGGUAUUCAAGGCGUGUGAGUGCAUCCACAUGAUUCAAAAACCAUAAGAAACGUGAGAGAGGAAAUAAGAUACAAAAAAUGAUGCUUAUAUAAACUGAGAGAGUUGAGUACAAGAUAUAAGC